AAGCACAUUUCUUGUGUGACCGCGUACUUUUUGUAGAACGGGCCAACGAGUUACGUUAAGUAGCAAGGUUAAGCACUUAAGGUGUGGAGCCGUAGCGAAAGCGAGUUUUAACUGAGCGUUCAGUUACUUGACGUAGACCCGAAACCGGGCGACCUACCCAUGAGCAGGAUGAAGCGAAAGUAAAAUUUCGUGGAGGUCCGAACCCACGAGCGUUGAAAAGCUCGGGGAUGACUUGUGGGUAGCGGUGAAAUUCCAAUCGAGCCCGGAGAUAGCUGGUUCUCCCCGAAAUAGCUUUAGGGCUAGCCUCAAGGUGAGAGAUACGGAGGUAGAGCACUGAAUGUCCUAGGGGGUAUUGCACCUACCGAAGACUAUCAAACUCCGAAUGCCGUCAUCUU
This 395-nucleotide ribosomal RNA is filed under the name Clostridioides sp. ZZV14-6048. RNAcentral's name for it is "partial 23S ribosomal RNA". It matches the Rfam family "Bacterial large subunit ribosomal RNA", at positions 577 to 971 of the family's 2925-position model. The record is from RNAcentral. Lineage: Bacteria; Bacillati; Bacillota; Clostridia; Peptostreptococcales; Peptostreptococcaceae.